GUAUCAAAUAUUCCUGUUGCCUGAUUUCAGGGCUCUGUUGCUCAGAAGAUCUCUCGUUUACUUUGAACACUAAAUACAGCCUGCAAGAUAAUUAUGCAUGGGAGAAGACUGAUGCCCUGACUGUCC
RNAcentral lists this long non-coding RNA (126 nucleotides) under Dromaius novaehollandiae (emu). RNAcentral's name for it is "lncRNA (ENSDNVG00000016843.1)". The record is from RNAcentral. Lineage: Eukaryota; Metazoa; Chordata; Aves; Casuariiformes; Dromaiidae.